UACGUAGGUGGCGAGCGUUGUCCGGAUUUACUGGGCGUAAAGGGCGUGCAGGCGGUUUGUUAAGUGCAGGGUGAAAGCUCCCGGCUCAACUGGGAGAGGUCCUUGCAUACUGGCGAACUCGAGGGAGGCAGAGGAAAGUGGAAUUCCCGGUGUAGUGGUGAUAUGCGUAGAUAUCGGGAGGAACACCUGUGGCGAAGGCGGCUUUCUGGGCCUUACCUGACGCUGAGACACGAAAGCCAGGGGAGCAAACGGG
Molecule: ribosomal RNA, 253 nt
Filed under: uncultured bacterium
Lineage: Bacteria
Description: partial 16S ribosomal RNA
Rfam family: Bacterial small subunit ribosomal RNA
Source: RNAcentral